AUGGUGCUGAUUUGUAAAGUUACGGAUGGUCAUACUUGAUCAAGUCUGUCCGCAAGACGACAAGUAAACCAUUUUUAAAAUGCUUGUUUUCUGAAUGGAGUUUGGAUUGUUCAGGGCUGUACUAACAUUGGAGCUGCUCCAUCAACAAGACAACAUACAUGUAAUUUCAGAAUUUAUCCGGUAAUCAAACGUAUCUGCUUACUUUUUCCAAAGAAAGCUUCUUUUUGUC
Etheostoma spectabile (orangethroat darter) is the source of this 229-nucleotide long non-coding RNA. RefSeq lists it as uncharacterized. The record is from RefSeq and is a predicted model, not a curated record. The transcript is spliced from 4 exons. Lineage: Eukaryota; Metazoa; Chordata; Actinopteri; Perciformes; Percidae.